This is a long non-coding RNA of Zeugodacus cucurbitae (melon fly), 2590 nucleotides long. RefSeq lists it as uncharacterized. The transcript is spliced from 2 exons. The record is from RefSeq and is a predicted model, not a curated record. NCBI's taxonomy places the organism in Eukaryota, Metazoa, Arthropoda, Insecta, Diptera, Tephritidae.
CUCAAGCCUGCUCUUGGCUAAGAUAGUCAUACCUAUGUACUUACAUAAAUGCUUUCUCAGCUCUGCUACUACUCUCUUAUACCAAUAUCAGUUCUAUACUUAGAAACCCGAGAAGCUGAGAUGAAAAAAUCUGCACAAGCUUUGAUAUUCUAUUCUAGUUAUGAACUGUACGAGUAGACAGCAAGACAGCAUCUUUCAUUUCCUAGCUUUGUUUGACUAGCAUGAAAAAAUAGAACAUCUACACGCCAAAAAAGCAGUUACUUGUAUAAAAUAAGAUGUUCGGGUGACUAAUAGAGCUUGAAGUUCAUACUAGUUACGAAGAGAAUUAUAACUUGUUGAUCUGCUGCAGGGUUCUCCCACACAUACAAAUACACACAUAUGUAAAUACAAUUUGGAGGCACUUUAGUAGGAGACAAAUGCAUAUUUACAAGUUAGACGAACUAGACUUAGACUUAGCUUUUAUAUAAAUUUAAUUUAGAUAUUUUGUAAAAGAGAAAAUCGUUCAAUUAUGCAGUUCUCUCACAAAAUUGCUGAAAAAUUUGUACUCAUUCAUAGAAUUAUUAAAUUCACAUUUUAUUAUUAUAAUAAACUCGCCUUGAACCAAAACCUUUCAAAGAUAUGAACUUGUUGAGAAGUAAUUGAUCGUGCUUACAAAAACAUAUUCAUAAUUUUUUUCAGUAGUUCGAAAGUUUUCGAAGAAAAAAUACAAAUAUUAAUUGUUUAACACGAUAUCAAAGUCAUGUGUACUAUAUACAUAAAUACCAUUAUUAUGAUGGAUUUCAUCUAUGUUCCAAAAUAACAAAAAAUAUUAAGUAUAUAGUAAAUGUAUGGAUGAAUUGCAUUAUGGUUUUUAUUAAUUUUCAAUGAUAACCAAUUUUAUCACUUUUGGGGAGUGUACUUGCAGCUUUUAUGUACAUACAUACAUGCAUACGUACAUAUGUAUCUUCAUAACAAUACGGCAAACGUCAUACAAUAAUUGCAAAUGAAUCAGCUCAGAAGGUACUUAACACCGUUGCUUUCUGGUUUUGAAUAUUUACAGUUAAACAGUAUAUAAACUAACACACAUUUGCUCUGUACGCGAAUUGAAAAAAUCCCCAAGGUGUAAACUCGUUUUGUUUCCUGCUUAACAGCGAAAAGAUUAAUUGAAAAGGAAUAACCUGAUGAGUGUGAAAAAAAGAACAUUUAGUUACACUAGAGACAAAGCUAUUUCAAUCACGAUCGAAUCUAAAUAAAAUUAUUUCCUACCCUUCUUCAUUGGUAUGUAGUGUGAGGGCUCAAAAAGGUCCGAUUCAAACUUUCAAAUAUAAGCAGAUUACUUUAGUAUUGUACUAAAGCUUUCAAAAAUUCAAGAUACUUUCAUCAUAAAGUUGGCGGAAUCGCAUCUAGCACAUAACAUAUUAAUCUUUUUAUAUAAUAAGAUAGCGAUUCAACAAAAAAUUCUGAUUGUGUUAAUUUCCCUGAACAAGUGCUUUGCAAGCAAUUACGGGAUUCCCCGCUUAAAAUAUGAAAACCACCUGUAAAACCUCCAAGUUACGCCACAAACGAUAGGCCAACUAAUCUAAUCUACGAAUGACUUUUGUGAUUGAUACCCAACGUCCGAAAAAGUCCGUAUGUUUAUAAGUGUUAUCCGGCCAUAAGGGCAACUAUGGCGUUGACAACAUAGUCUAUUUCCACAACAGUCGAGUCUACGGAAAUGGAUUUUUAGCCGGCCAAGGACUCUUAAUUCGCAGCAUUUAUUUAAACUAUUUAGCGGAUGUUUUCUGUGCUUACUACAACAACUAUGAUCUAGAGAAUACACGAAAUGAUUUUUGAAGAAAUAAAAAGGAAAAAAUGAAAAAUAUUUGAUCGAACGAAAUGACACGAUAUUAAGCGUUAUAAAUCAAUGAUAUAUGACAUAUGAAAUGCAUUGUUUUUGUUCAUUUAUUUCAGCUUCACAAGUUGGAUUUGUUUGUAAAUAACCGUUAAACUACACAAAAUAGCUUAAAAUAUAAAUACAUACAAUAAUUGAGUUGGUAUUUUUCAACUAUGAUCAAUAUCACAUAUCAAUUCAUUGUUUUCACUUAAACAAUAUAUGAUUUUUGGUCAGUAUCAGUAGAUUUUCGUAAAAAUAGGUUUGUGCGUAUACUUCGCAUUUGUCUAAAACUCGUAGCUCUAUUGAAUUCAUUUAAAAUAAUAAAAUAUAAGAUUCUGUUCGAUUCUUAUAUUUACACAAGAGUUUGUCUUUAAACGAGAUUUGUACUCUUAAAAUGGGUUAAACCGUUAAAAAGCAAUAGCCGCCGUCACUAUAUAAAGAUCUAAUGAGGUAUAAUUUAAGUAAAUUAAUCAUAAAACCGUUUUACGUACAAUCACAAGCAGUACUUCAGAACUUAGCAAAUUUUCAUUAAGAUAACAGAAAGGUUUCAGGAACAAACUAUUAUGUAUGCAUGUCUUUCGAGUUUUGUAAAAUUAUCGUCUUUUUAAGAUUGAACUCAUUUAAACACGUUUGUCGUUAUUCUUCUUGCUAUUACUAUUCUGCUUUGGCUUCGAUUUUCCAUUUGACGUUGUCGCUUGUUCUUGUUGUUGGGACUGAUUUUCAUCCAAUUCUUGCACC